UACGUAGGAGACGAGCGUUGUCCGGAAUUACUGGGCGUAAAGCGCGUGUAGGCGGAUGAGCAAGUCUGCUGUGAAAGCUCCUGGCUUAACCGGGAGUGGUCGGUGGAAACUGCUCGUCUGGAGGACGGUAGAGGUAGGUAGAAUUCCCGGUGUAGUGGUGAAAUGCGUAGAGAUCGGGAGGAAUACCUGUGGCGAAGGCGGCAUCCUGGACCGACAUUGACGCUGAACGGCGAAAGCUAGGGGAGCAAACGGG
RNAcentral lists this ribosomal RNA (253 nucleotides) under uncultured bacterium. Its description in RNAcentral is "partial 16S ribosomal RNA". It matches the Rfam family "Bacterial small subunit ribosomal RNA", at positions 524 to 776 of the family's 1533-position model. The record is from RNAcentral.